UACGUAGGGAGCAAGCGUUGUCCGGAAUCAUUGGGCGUAAAGCGCGCGUAGGUGGCUUCGUAAGUCCGUUGUGAAAGUCAAAGGCUCAACCUUUGAAAGCCGAUGGAUACUGUGAAGCUAGAGUUCGGAAGAGGCGAGUGGAAUUCCCGGUGUAGCGGUGAAAUGCGCAGAUAUCGGGAGGAACACCUAUGGCGAAGGCAGCUCGCUGGGACGUUACUGACGCUGAGACGCGAAAGCGUGGGGAGCAAACAGG
RNAcentral lists this ribosomal RNA (253 nucleotides) under uncultured bacterium. RNAcentral describes it as "partial 16S ribosomal RNA". It matches the Rfam family "Bacterial small subunit ribosomal RNA", at positions 524 to 776 of the family's 1533-position model. The record is from RNAcentral.